This is a long non-coding RNA of Artibeus jamaicensis (Jamaican fruit-eating bat), 619 nucleotides long. RefSeq lists it as uncharacterized. The record is from RefSeq and is a predicted model, not a curated record. NCBI's taxonomy places the organism in Eukaryota, Metazoa, Chordata, Mammalia, Chiroptera, Phyllostomidae. The transcript is spliced from 3 exons.
CUCACAGUGCCCUUGUGGUCCCAGCUGUGACAUGCACAUGCACAAAGGGGCAGAAAAGACAUUUUUUAAGACACUGGAGAGAUGUGGAACAAAAAGGACUGACUGAACUAAACCAGAGAAUAGCAAGUCUUUCCAAGGUCUACUGAAUCACUGAACUGGUGAUAUAAACUUACAUCAAGCAGAACUUCAGCCUAAGAUAUGAGAGCAUCAUAUCUUAAAAAUCAUCGAAGUAACAAGAAGAGAAUUCAAGAAGACCUCACCAAUACUCUAUUGGGGAAAUUUUCAGCUUUGGUUAACACCUUAUCCUAAAACUAUUGACCUUAAAGCAAUAACAAUAAUGUAGAGUAAGGGGCUGUAAAGAACUAAAAUUUGAAAAUAACUACAUAUGCUUCAUCAACUUUAACUUUACAUUCUCAAGGAAAUUCAAGAAUACAUGAAGUCUGUAAAAUAAGAGAUAAGAUGAGAAGACAACCACUGCAAUGGGAAAAAAAAAAGGUUAGGAGGCAUGGAAAAAAAAACAUUUUUAAAGCUACAUGAAAAAAGAAAACUAAAUAAACAAAAAUAAAUUUAGUAUUAGGUCAAAAAAUUAACAUUGAUAAUAUGGACAUUUUGAAGAGGU